This 84-nucleotide transfer RNA is filed under the name Melittangium boletus DSM 14713. Its description in RNAcentral is "tRNA-Trp". The record is from RNAcentral. Lineage: Bacteria; Pseudomonadati; Myxococcota; Myxococcia; Myxococcales; Archangiaceae.
GGCCCCGAGGUGAUGGCGGCCACACUCCGAGUGCUCCAGGCACUCGAGGUUCCCCUUCAGUUCGAGAGCCGGGACGCGGGCGCC